GACGAACGCUGGCGGCGUGCUUAACACAUGCAAGUCGAACGGAAAGGCCCUGCUUGCAGGGUACACGAGUGGCGAACGGGUGAGUAACACGUGGGUGAUCUGCCCUGCACUUCGGGAUAAGCCUGGGAAACUGGGUCUAAUAUCGGAUAGGAGCCAUUUUUAGUGUGAUGGUUGGAAAGUUUUUUCGGUGUAGGAUGAGCUCGCGGCCUAUCAGCUUGUUGGUGGGGUAAUGGCCUACCAAGGCGGCGACGGGUAGCCGGCCUGAGAGGGUGGACGGCCACAUUGGGACUUGGAUACGGCCCAGACUCCUACGGGAGGCAGCAGGGGGGAAUAUUGCACAAUGGGCGCAAGCCUGAUGCAGCGACGCCGCGUGGGGGAUGACGGCCUUCGGGUUGUAAACUCCUUUCGCUAGGGACGAAGCUUUUUGUGACGGUACCUAGAUAAGAAGCACCGGCUAACUACGUG
This 465-nucleotide ribosomal RNA is filed under the name uncultured bacterium. RNAcentral's name for it is "partial 16S ribosomal RNA". It matches the Rfam family "Bacterial small subunit ribosomal RNA", at positions 28 to 507 of the family's 1533-position model. The record is from RNAcentral.